This 145-nucleotide unclassified non-coding RNA is filed under the name uncultured Helotiales. RNAcentral's name for it is "sequence contains ITS2". The record is from RNAcentral. Lineage: Eukaryota; Fungi; Ascomycota; Leotiomycetes; Helotiales.
UAACCACUCAAGCCUACGCUUGGCAUUGGGGUUCGCGAUCAGCGGCUCUUAAAAUCAGUGGCGGUGCCUGUAAGCUCUACGCGUAGUAAUUCUCUCGCGACGGAACCUUACGAGUUGCUUGCCAAAACUCAAAUAUUUUAUCAGG